GGAGAAGUCGCCUAGUCUGGCCGAGGGCGCACGAUUGGAAAUCGUGUAAACCGGAAACGGUUUCGAGAGUUCGAAUCUCUCCUUCUCCGCCA
RNAcentral lists this transfer RNA (92 nucleotides) under Clostridiales bacterium. Its description in RNAcentral is "tRNA-Ser". It matches the Rfam family "tRNA". From Rfam's summary of the family: Transfer RNA (tRNA) molecules are approximately 80 nucleotides in length. Their secondary structure includes four short double-helical elements and three loops (D, anti-codon, and T loops). Further hydrogen bonds mediate the characteristic L-shaped molecular structure. tRNAs have two regions of fundamental functional importance: the anti-codon, which is responsible for specific mRNA codon recognition, and the 3' end, to which the tRNAs corresponding amino acid is attached (by aminoacyl-tRNA synthetases). tRNAs cope with the degeneracy of the genetic code in two manners: having more than one tRNA (with a specific anti-codon) for a particular amino acid; and 'wobble' base-pairing, i.e. permitting non-standard base-pairing at the 3rd anti-codon position. RNAcentral also lists the same sequence under 1 other name. The record is from RNAcentral. Lineage: Bacteria; Bacillati; Bacillota; Clostridia; Eubacteriales.